UAUGUGAUCGUCUCUCGCAUAUCAAUAAGCGGAGGAAAAGAAACUAACAAGGAUUCCCCUAGUAACGGCGAGUGAAGCGGGAAGAGCUCAAAUUUGAAUCUUAAAGGGUUUCCCUUUACGAAUUGUAGUUUAAAGAAGUGUUUUCUGUUGAGGUUUUGGUAAAAGUUCUUUGGAAUAGGACAUCAUAGAGGGUGAGAAUCCCGUAUUUGACCUUUACUUUCAACUUUGUGAUACACUUUCAAAGAGUCGGAUUGUUUGGGAAUGCAGUCCAAAAUGGGUGGUAAAUUUCAUCUAAAGCUAAAUAUUGGCGAGAGACCGAUAGCGAACAAGUACCGUGAGGGAAAGAUGAAAAGAACUUUGAAAAGAGAGUUAAACAGUACGUGAAAUUGUCAAAAGGGAAGCGUUUGACACCAGUGUUGUUUUUUCUGAAAAUCAAUUAAAGAACUGUUUAUGCUAAGUUGUUUAGACUUUAUCAGCUAUACUGCUUUAGUUUUGAGCUUUUCUUUAAUGCACUUUUCAGUUAACAAGUCAACAUCAAUUUCUUUUGCUGUAAAAAAGCUUGAGGAAGGUGGCUUGAGAUUCGUCUUAAGUGUUUAUAGCCUCUUGCCUAUGCAGUCGGAGAGAUUGAGGUCUGCAGCGUAGAUCCUUCGGGGCUAAAUGCAUUUGUGCUAAGUUAUAGCAUUUUAUAGACAACUUGUUGACUAUGAUUUGUCUUGUAGCUUACUCGCUUAUGUUAUUUUACCUACGCUUAGGAUGUUGAUCUACAGAGCGAGAGU
RNAcentral lists this ribosomal RNA (776 nucleotides) under uncultured Neocallimastigales. RNAcentral's name for it is "partial large subunit ribosomal RNA". It matches the Rfam family "Eukaryotic large subunit ribosomal RNA", at positions 24 to 640 of the family's 3401-position model. Lineage: Eukaryota; Fungi; Neocallimastigomycota; Neocallimastigomycetes; Neocallimastigales. The record is from RNAcentral.